RNAcentral lists this ribosomal RNA (447 nucleotides) under uncultured bacterium. Its description in RNAcentral is "bacterial SSU rRNA". It matches the Rfam family "Bacterial small subunit ribosomal RNA", at positions 29 to 521 of the family's 1533-position model. The record is from RNAcentral.
AACGAACGCUGGCGGCAUGCCUAACACAUGCAAGUCGAACGAGACCUUCGGGUCUAGUGGCGCACGGGUGCGUAACGCGUGGGAACCUGCCUUUAGGUUCGGAAUAACUCAGAGAAAUUUGAGCUAAUACCGGAUAAUGUCUUCGGACCAAAGAUUUAUCGCCUUUAGAUGGGCCCGCGUUGGAUUAGCUAGUUGGUGGGGUAAAGGCCUACCAAGGCGACGAUCCAUAGCUGGUCUGAGAGGAUGAUCAGCCACACUGGGACUGAGACACGGCCCAGACUCCUACGGGAGGCAGCAGUGGGGAAUAUUGGACAAUGGGCGAAAGCCUGAUCCAGCAAUGCCGCGUGAGUGAUGAAGGCCUUAGGGUUGUAAAGCUCUUUUACCCGAGAUGAUAAUGACAGUAUCGGGAGAAUAAGCUCCAGCUAACUCCGUGCCAGCAGCCGCGGU